GUGUGUCUUUGCUCCCCAUGUGUUCCGUGACCCUGUUUCUGUCUCUCGUGUAUCAAGUUCAUUUGUCCCAGGUGUUUCCAAUGUUUAUUGUCUCCUUAGCUCCAGGUGUCCCUUGUCUUCCUCUCAUCAGUUCCUGUGUAUUUAAAGUGUGUUCUAGUGCUUGUUCUUUGUCAGCUGUUAAACGUCAUUCUGUUCUCCUGAUGUGUCGAGUCCUGUGAUCCCCAGCCUUUAGAUCAGAAGAGCGCACG
Sinocyclocheilus grahami is the source of this 248-nucleotide long non-coding RNA. RefSeq lists it as uncharacterized. The transcript has 3 exons. The record is from RefSeq and is a predicted model, not a curated record. NCBI's taxonomy places the organism in Eukaryota, Metazoa, Chordata, Actinopteri, Cypriniformes, Cyprinidae.